This 105-nucleotide ribosomal RNA is filed under the name uncultured Corynebacterium sp. Lineage: Bacteria; Bacillati; Actinomycetota; Actinomycetes; Mycobacteriales; Corynebacteriaceae. The record is from RNAcentral.
CAACAGCGGCGGGGAAACGCCCGGACCCAUUCCGAACCCGGAAGCUAAGCCCGCCAACGCCGAUGGUACUGCACCCGGAAGAGUGUGGGAGAGUAGGAAACCGCC